AAAGUCGUAACAAGGUUUCCGUAGGUGAACCUGCGGAAGGAUCAUUAAAAUAUAGAAUUUAUUUUCUGUAAACCCAAUCUGUGUACUUGUACCUGUUGCUUCCGUGAGCCGGUGAACGCAAGUUCGCCCUCUGGUGUCAUUCCACGGAAUGACUUUACCACUGAGUGCUCACGGGAGGUCUUCAUAAACUCUGUUUUUUUUGAACUCAGUCUGAAUAUUGUUUAUAAUUAAACUUUAAAACUUUCAACAACGGAUCUCUUGGUUCUC
RNAcentral lists this unclassified non-coding RNA (267 nucleotides) under Ascomycota sp. Its description in RNAcentral is "partial contains small subunit ribosomal RNA, internal transcribed spacer 1, and 5.8S ribosomal RNA". The stretch from base 1 to 47 matches the Rfam family "Eukaryotic small subunit ribosomal RNA", at positions 1785 to 1831 of the family's 1831-position model. The record is from RNAcentral. Lineage: Eukaryota; Fungi; Ascomycota.